RNAcentral lists this ribosomal RNA (253 nucleotides) under uncultured bacterium. RNAcentral's name for it is "partial 16S ribosomal RNA". It matches the Rfam family "Bacterial small subunit ribosomal RNA", at positions 524 to 776 of the family's 1533-position model. The record is from RNAcentral.
UACAGAGGUCUCAAGCGUUGUUCGGAAUCACUGGGCGUAAAGGGUGCGUAGGUGGCGUGUUAAGUCAGAUGUGAAAGCCCGGGGCUCAACCUCGGAACUGCAUCCGAUACUACCAUGCUGGAGUACUGAAGAGGUGACUAGAAUUCUCGGUGUAGCAGUGAAAUGCGUAGAUAUCGAGAGGAAUACCAAAGGCGAAGGCAGGUCACUGGGCAGUUACUGACACUGAGGCACGAAGGCCAGGGGAGCAAACGGG